Molecule: long non-coding RNA, 1996 nt
Filed under: Nicotiana benthamiana
Lineage: Eukaryota; Viridiplantae; Streptophyta; Magnoliopsida; Solanales; Solanaceae
Description: long non-coding RNA (NBEN_LNC032993)
Source: RNAcentral
UGAUUUUUAUUCUGCUUGCAUCGGGGUUGCACCAUUGGUUUGCUAUUUUCUUUUAGCAGAAUUUUGUGCAUGCAAAUGGCUAGAGUGGUUCAUUGAAUAUCAGUAUGGUCCAGCUAAUAGACUUUUUGUACUUUUUCAGUAGCUUCACCAGCUUUUUUUCCUAUGUACCUGUCAAGUAAGUAGAAAUGUAUCACAAAAAUUGUUAAUUUCAAGAGAAGCGUAUUUCAAGUGAGUAGGGAGGACUUAUUCCACAGUAGACUUAAAAGCCUCCUUUUUUAGUUCCUCCUCAUUGGCCUCUUUCUUUAUUUUAGGAUCCUCCUCCUCCACUACACUAGACAGAGUAAUAUACCUCUUUAGAGUAUCCCUCACAAGCUUGUCUAACGUAAAUUUUUCAGCCAAUUCCCCAGAAACAUAUAGCUUGAAACACGAGUAGGAAGAUGCCUCAUCACUAAGGUAUUUUAUAAUUCUCCUUAUCUGGAACACCACUUUCUCGUUUCCCACUCUAAGCAUAAGUUUCCCCUCAUAGAUAUCAUGGAUUUCUCUACCAAUACAUUAAAAUAGCCGUCUUAAAAUUAGAGGCACCUCAUUGUUCACUUUAUAUUCACAAUAAUAAAGUCUACAAGGAACACAAAUUUAUUCAUUCGUACUAGAAUAUCCUCAAUGAUUCCCUUGGGAAAAAUGGUGGGCUAAUCAGCCAGUUGUAAAGACACUGGUAUUGAUUUGAAUACUCCAAGCUCAUCUUCCUGUUUCCUGAACACAAACAAAUGUAUUAGAUUUAUAGAAGCACCUGAAUCAUACAGGGCCUUGUCGAAUAUGUCACUCCUCAAUGAGCAUGGUAUGGUGAAGCUUCCUGGGUCCCCGCACUAUUAAGGAAUUUUAUUUUACAAUAUGGUACUGCAGUGGCCAUUCAACUUGACCAGUGUUGUCUCCUUUAAUUUCCUCUUGAUGGAAAAUAUUUCCUUCAAGAACUUAGUAUAAGAAGACAUCUAAGUGAGUACCUCUGUGAAGGGAAUGUUCACAUAAAUUUUCUUGAUCCUCUCCAACAACCGGCCAAAACACUUGUCAAGUUUUUCCCGCUUCAUUUUUUGAGCGCAUGGUAGAGCUAGCAUGAGUCUACUUUCUUCGAUCUCCUUUUGUUCCCUACUACUCUGACCUUUCUGUUCUUUACUCUUUGCUCUUGUAGUUUCUCAGUCGGCUUGCUCACUACCUCGGGUCUAACUUUCACAACUGGGUCAUCUAAUGUUUUGCCACCUAUCAGAUAUACAUGUUUGAUUGUUUCCUUUGGGUUCUUUUCAUUCUUAGAGGGUAGAGUCCCAUGAGCCUCUCAGACAACAAGUAUGUAAUUUGUCCCAUUUGUAUUUAUAAAUUUCAGAUGGCUGACUUUCUCCCGGGCGACUGUGCCUAAAGUCUCAAAAUGUUCAUAUGAUUUGUUGAUGAACACAUUAUGAGAUUUUUCAUUCUAGAAUUAUUUGACUGUUGUGGCUGGUAUUUCUACCUCAGCUGAAUUUGAAAACUCGGUGAUCCUUGACUAUGGGGUCUAGGAUUAUUUUACUGCAACGAGUUCAAAUUUCCACUAGGUGAACUCCAAGAAAAACCUAGAUGUCUUUUCCCCAUAGAAUUAUAGUUGUUCCCACCUUGGUAGUUUCCUCUAGUAUAGCUUUCCACAACGUUAACUUCCUCAGAUAAAUUGUGACAUUCAUGUGUAGGGUGUUCCAUUCCACAAAACAUGUUUGCGAAUCACUUUGUACCUUGGCUAAGGUCAUCUUUCUUAUCUCUUUGGUCGUGGUGUCUAGAUGGUCUUUCGCUGAUGUAUUAGAAUCCACCUAGUGAAUACCAAUAAAUUUUCUUCUUCAUUACUCUCAGUAGGCCACCGGUUAGCAUCCUCAGAUAAUUCAUGAAGGAAUGAGACAACUUGCUCCGAAGUUUUCUUCAUUAAUGGACCUCUACAUGCAAUACUAAGAGUUCGUCGUGAUGAAGGUGUCGGUCUAUCCAAAAA